CCACCUCUUCCCAUUCCGAACAGAGAAGUUAAGCCUCACCGCGCCGAUGGUACUGCCCGCAAGGUGGGAGAGUAGGUUGCUGCCGGUU
Molecule: ribosomal RNA, 88 nt
Filed under: Tannerellaceae bacterium
Lineage: Bacteria; Pseudomonadati; Bacteroidota; Bacteroidia; Bacteroidales; Tannerellaceae
Source: RNAcentral